GAUGAACGCUGGCGGCGUGCCUAAUACAUGCGAGUCGAGCGAACAGACGAGGAGCUUGCUCCUCUGACGUUAGCGGCGGACGGGUGAGUAACACGUGGAUAACCUACCUAUAAGACUGGGAUAACUUCGGGAAACCGGAGCUAAUACCGGAUAAUAUAUUGAACCGCAUGGUUCAAUAGUGAAAGACGGUUUUGCUGUCACUUAUAGAUGGAUCCGCGCCGCAUUAGCUAGUUGGUAAGGUAACGGCUUACCAAGGCAACGAUGCGUAGCCGACCUGAGAGGGUGAUCGGCCACACUGGAACUGAGACACGGUCCAGACUCCUACGGGAGGCAGCAGUAGGGAAUCUUCCGCAAUGGGCGAAAGCCUGACGGAGCAACGCCGCGUGAGUGAUGAAGGUCUUCGGAUCGUAAAACUCUGUUAUUAGGGAAGAACAAAUGUGUAAGUAACUAUGCACGUCUUGACGGUACCUAAUCAGAAAGCCACGGCUAACUAC
Molecule: ribosomal RNA, 494 nt
Filed under: uncultured bacterium
Lineage: Bacteria
Description: partial 16S ribosomal RNA
Rfam family: Bacterial small subunit ribosomal RNA
Source: RNAcentral